UUGGGGUGGAACCCCCGAGGAGCGUAAUGAAGGUGAAGGUGGCCUCGUGCCGCCGAGGCGCGGGCCCGUCGCGUGGCGGGCGCAGCGUCUACCGAUCCCAGUCCACGCCGUGGCGGGAUUCGAGUCGGAGCGCGCAUGUUGCGACCCGAAAGAUGGUGAACUAUGCCCGAGUAGGGCGAAGCCAGAGGAAACUCUGGUGGAAGCUCGCAGCGGUUCUGACGUGCAAAUCGAUCGUCGAACUUGGGUAUAGGGGCGAAAGACCAAUCGAACCAUCUAGUAGCUGGUUCCCUCCGAAGUUUCCCCCAGGAUAGCUGGAGCCCGGUGCAGUUUUAUCAGGUAAAGCGAAUGAUUAGAGGUCUUGGGGCUGAAACAGCCUCAACCUAUUCUCAAACUUUAAAUGGGUAAGAGGGCCGGCUUGCUCGGCUGAAGUCGGCGAGUGGAAUGCCGGGGCUCCUAGUGGGCCAUUUUUGGUAAGCAGAACUGGCGAUGCGGGAUGAACCGAACGCCGAGUUAAGGUGCCGGAGUCGACGCUCAUCAGAUCCCAGAAAAGGUGUUGGUUGAUCUAGACAGCAGGACGGUGGCCAUGGAAGUCGGAAUCCGCUAAGGAGUGUGUAACAAC
RNAcentral lists this ribosomal RNA (619 nucleotides) under Rhabderemia indica. Its description in RNAcentral is "partial large subunit ribosomal RNA". It matches the Rfam family "Eukaryotic large subunit ribosomal RNA", at positions 694 to 1289 of the family's 3401-position model. Lineage: Eukaryota; Metazoa; Porifera; Demospongiae; Biemnida; Rhabderemiidae. The record is from RNAcentral.